Molecule: ribosomal RNA, 727 nt
Filed under: uncultured bacterium
Lineage: Bacteria
Description: bacterial SSU rRNA
Rfam family: Bacterial small subunit ribosomal RNA
Source: RNAcentral
GAGUAACGCGUGAGGAACCUGCCUUGAAGAGGGGGACAACAGUUGGAAACGACUGCUAAUACCGCAUGACGCAUAGAGGUCGCAUGAUCUUUAUGCCAAAGAUUUAUCGCUUCAAGAUGGCCUCGCGUCUGAUUAGCUGGUUGGCGGGGUAACGGCCCACCAAGGCGACGAUCAGUAGCCGGACUGAGAGGUUGAACGGCCACAUUGGGACUGAGAUACGGCCCAGACUCCUACGGGAGGUAGCAGUGGGGGAUAUUGGGCAAUGGGCGCAAGCCUGACCCAGCAACGCCGCGUGAAGGAAGAAGGCUUUCGGGUUGUAAACUUCUUUUAAGAGGGAAGAGCAGAAGACGGUACCUCUAGAAUAAGCCACGGCUAACUACGUGCCAGCAGCCGCGGUAAUACGUAGGUGGCAAGCGUUGUCCGGAUUUACUGGGUGUAAAGGGCGUGCAGCCGGGUCUGCAAGUCAGAUGUGAAAUCCAUGGGCUCAACCCAUGAACUGCAUUUGAAACUGUAGAUCUUGAGUGUCGGAGGGGCAAUCGGAAUUCCUAGUGUAGCGGUGAAAUGCGUAGAUAUUAGGAGGAACACCAGUGGCGAAGGCGGAUUGCUGGACGAUAACUGACGGUGAGGCGCGAAAGUGUGGGGAGCAAACAGGAUUAGAUACCCUGGUAGUCCACACUGUAAACGAUGAAUACUAGGUGUGCGGGGACUGACCCCCUGCGUGCCGCAG